This 468-nucleotide ribosomal RNA is filed under the name uncultured bacterium. RNAcentral describes it as "partial 16S ribosomal RNA". It matches the Rfam family "Bacterial small subunit ribosomal RNA", at positions 28 to 507 of the family's 1533-position model. The record is from RNAcentral.
GACGAACGCUGGCGGCGUGCUUAACACAUGCAAGUCGAACGGAAAGGCCCUGCUUUUGUGGGGUGCUCGAGUGGCGAACGGGUGAGUAACACGUGAGUAACCUGCCCUUGACUUUGGGAUAACUUCACGAAACUGGGGCUAAUACCGGAUAGGAGCUCCUGCUGCAUGGUGGGGGUUGGAAAGUUUCGGCGGUUGGGGAUGGACUAGCGGCUUAUCAGCUUGUUGGUGGGGUAGUGGCUUACCAAGGCUUUGACGGGUAGCCGGCAUGAGAGGGUGACCGGCCACAAUAGGACUGAGAUACGGAGCAGACGGCAACGGGAGGCAGCAGUGGGAAGUAUUGCACAGUGAGCGGAAGCCUGAUGCGGCAACGCCGCGUUCGGGAUGACGGCCUUCGGGUUAUAAACCGCUUUCGCCUGUGACGAAGCGUGAGUGACGGUAAUGAGUAAAGAAGCACCGGCUAACUACGUG